This 475-nucleotide ribosomal RNA is filed under the name uncultured bacterium. RNAcentral describes it as "partial 16S ribosomal RNA". It matches the Rfam family "Bacterial small subunit ribosomal RNA", at positions 28 to 523 of the family's 1533-position model. The record is from RNAcentral.
GGUGAACGCUGGCGGCGUGCUUAAGACAUGCAAGUCGAACGCAGUCUUCGGACUGAGUGGCGCACGGGUGAGUAACACGUAACUGACCUACCCCCAAGUCGCGGAUAACUGGCCGAAAGGUCAGCUGAUACGUGAUGUGAUGUCCCCUUUCUGGGGGGCCAUUAAAGGUUUACUGCUUGGGGAUGGGGUUGCGUUCCAUCAGCUAGUUGGCGGGGUAAAGGCCCACCAAGGCAACGACGGAUAGCCGGCCUGAGAGGGUGGCCGGCCACAGGGGCACUGAGACACGGGUCCCACUCCUACGGGAGGCAGCAGUUAAGAAUCUUCCACAAUGGGCGAAAGCCUGAUGGAGCGACGCCGCGUGAGGGAUGAAGGUUCUCGGAUCGUAAACCUCUGAAUCAGGGACGAAAGACGCGUAAGCGGGAUGACGGUACCUGAGUAAUAGCACCGGCUAACUCCGUGCCAGCCGCCGCAGUAA